AAGGCCUUAGCUUAGUUAAAGUGUCUGGGUUGCAUUCAGAAGAUGUGGGGUAGUAUCCCGCAGGCUUUA
Molecule: transfer RNA, 69 nt
Filed under: Paramesotriton hongkongensis (Hong Kong warty newt)
Lineage: Eukaryota; Metazoa; Chordata; Amphibia; Caudata; Salamandridae
Description: tRNA-Ala
Rfam family: tRNA
About the family: Transfer RNA (tRNA) molecules are approximately 80 nucleotides in length. Their secondary structure includes four short double-helical elements and three loops (D, anti-codon, and T loops).
Source: RNAcentral